AGCGGCGGACGGGUGAGUAACGCGUGGGUAACCUGCCUCAUACAGGGGGAUAACAGUUGGAAACGGCUGCUAAUACCGCAUAAGCGCACAGUACUGCAUGGUACCGUGUGAAAAACUCCGGUGGUAUGAGAUGGACCCGCGUCUGAUUAGCUAGUUGGUGGGGUAACGGCCUACCAAGGCGACGAUCAGUAGCCGACCUGAGAGGGUGACCGGCCACAUUGGGACUGAGACACGGCCCAAACUCCUACGGGAGGCAGCAUG
RNAcentral lists this ribosomal RNA (261 nucleotides) under uncultured bacterium. RNAcentral's name for it is "partial 16S ribosomal RNA". It matches the Rfam family "Bacterial small subunit ribosomal RNA", at positions 94 to 353 of the family's 1533-position model. The record is from RNAcentral.